GAAUAGUGGAGAAUUUGGCGGGGGGAGAGGGGAGCCCUGUGAGGGGUCUGUGGGGGUCAGAGAGGUCCCUGGGGCAGGCGGUCUCUUGGGAGUGGGCCUUUUGGGGAUGAGGGGGACCAGGCAGGAUCUGCUGCUGGAGCUCGGGGAGGUCACUGAGCUGGGGGCAGUGCUGGUGUCUGGGUCCUGGGUCUCCUGCAGGCAGCAGUCAGUGAAGCUGGGAGGGGUUCUCUGGUUUGGAGGGAGCCCGCUGGGCUGCGUGGGUGUGCAGGAACAGCCUGGGGUGGAAAUGCUGGCGUGAAGCCUGUGGCAGGGGAAUAUUGAGGGGAAGGAAGGGUCCCCUGCCAUAGAGAGCGGGGGCUCCAACACUUCAGUGUAUAUAGGUAGCCUAUAUAAUGAGAGUGGGGUCUCUUUGUCCUCUCUGUGAGGCAGUUCCAGAGAUGCUGGACUCAGGAAAAUGGGGACAUGGCCUGAAGCAGGGAGUUCUGGGGAGAGAAAGACCACUGGCGAGAGUUGGUAGUACCUUGGUGGCUGGGAAUAAGAGCUAGUGCUUUCUGAGAAGAACAGGGAAUUUGAUGGGGAGAAGAACCAGGUUCAUUUUGUCAGAGGUGGCACAGGUGGCGGUGGAAAGCUGCCAUCCUUCACCAUGCCACUUCAGUGAUAGGAGAGAUACCUGUUGGGGCUUUGAAAAGGGAGACAGCCAUCUUCUGUUCUGCCAUGCCUGCCAACCUAAGCCAUUGCCAUGCUGUUACCUGCACACUUUCCAGCAAGAACAUGAGGCUCCUGAUUCUUGCUGUUUGCCCUAUUCUACAUGGCCCACUGUGAAGAAGGGGCCAGGCUCCUGGCCUCCAAAUCACUAUUAAACGGAUAUGCUGUGGAGGACUGGACUCUGCAGUACAUCAUCUACACUGCUGACUCCAGUGCUGCCUUAGAUAUGGAGCUGUCGGAUGAUUCUUUCCACCCCCCACCCCCCUCCGGCCCAAGGAUUUUGGCACUGUCUUUGUGAUGUUCGAUGUCAAGUGGCUCCAGAUUGCUCGGUAUCUUCUCAUGUUUUGAAAUUUCUCCCCUCCCAGCGCUCGUUCUUACCCCUAAGUGUCCUGUCACUCUGCUGUCCUCGUUCAUUGUCACUGAGAUUCCAGUAUGCCAGACCUUGGGUGGGGUGUUGUGGGGAAGGAGGAGUGGCUGGAUCCAGCUUGGAUGGGUCUGGAUAUCUGUAACUACAGAGGCUGGGAUCUGUUGACAGGACUGACUUUGCUACCUGGUUCAAUUCUCUUCUUUACCCACCUUCUUGCUUUCCUUUGAUGAAAUGCAACUAUUUUCCUUAAGUUUCAGAUCUCGGAGUGAGUAAUGUGUCCCACACUGUGGUUCUGCAGCCUCUUGAAGCUGCUUACUUCACCUCUGCCACCAUUGCAUACCUGGCACAGGAGGGUGGAGAGGUGAUUGUGAGUGAUUUGAUUUGACUUUUUAUGCAGUUAUAGCCCACGUUGGACAACAGCUGGACUGGGCGGCUUUUGGCGUGAUGACCCUGCCCUCCAUCGGGAUGGUGCUGCUGUGAUACUUGAGCAAGAGAAAGUAUGACACCCCUGAGACCAAAAGGAAGUGAGCAAAGCCAAAUGCUACCAGCACCCCAGAGCUCAGGAGAGAGCAAACAUUAACCCACCCAGAACUGCAGGUGUGUUUGGAUCAGCAACAGUCUGCAAAAGCACUGCCUGGGCUGUGCUUCAGCCCUGUCACUUCAACGGUAGUGGUGUGUUGCCUUCUCCCUUAAAAAAAAAGAAGAAAAAACACUGAAAAGCCUGCAACCAAACCCCCUCGUCUGCGUAUUCAGAGCAGAGUCUCCUCACUGUUGCAGAUAAGUGCUGGUGAAGCUGUGACACGAACAUGUUAACACCCAGCAGAGCUUAUUUGUGGGGGUGCAGCUCUGCAGCAUUUCUGGCAUCUGUGCUGCCUCCCAGACUCCGUUCAGCCAAGUGGACCUCUGUCUGCUGCAGUCUUCUCAAACCCUGUAAAUCUUGGGGGCCCCCCUCCUCCAGGUGCUGCCCAUCUUGCUGAAACACCUGUGGGAAGGAGUUUUACUGAGUGCUGAUAACAGACCUCCUUUUGAUAGAGGCUUGUUAGAGCUCUUUCUUUGCUAGGUGGGGUAUGGGAAGCCCCGUUGUAUUUCAGUGAGCAGUUAAUUGCUGUGUGUCUGGUUGUUUGGGUUUGGUUUUUUUUUCUCCCUGGUUGCUCUGUUGAGGCUUUGUAAUAAAACAAACACCACAAAAGAAGCCUGCUUCUCUUUUACCAGGAGGUCCUGGAGGCACCUGGCUGCCUCCAGAAGCAGCUAAAGGGCAUACAGUCAGGAAAAUAAAUCCAUACAUUACUCCAUCAGUAAAAUAAAUGGAAGAAUGAAAGCAUAGGGAACAUGUGGGGAGCAGAAAUCGCUUUACUGGGUUCAUUCAUCUGUUCUCCGAAGGGCUGGUACCUCACAGUGGCUUUCCUGACAGCCCCAAGCACUAGUAUAAGGUUUCUUCUCACCACUGUAAAUAAAUCAUAGUGCAGCUGCCUGUUGGGCAUGAA
This is a long non-coding RNA of Aquila chrysaetos chrysaetos, 2556 nucleotides long. RefSeq lists it as uncharacterized. The transcript has 4 exons. Lineage: Eukaryota; Metazoa; Chordata; Aves; Accipitriformes; Accipitridae. The record is from RefSeq and is a predicted model, not a curated record.